This 497-nucleotide ribosomal RNA is filed under the name uncultured bacterium. RNAcentral's name for it is "partial 16S ribosomal RNA". It matches the Rfam family "Bacterial small subunit ribosomal RNA", at positions 28 to 507 of the family's 1533-position model. The record is from RNAcentral.
GAUGAACGCUGGCGGCGUGCCUAAUACAUGCAAGUCGAGCGAACAGACGAGGAGCUUUCUCCUCUGACGGUAUCGGCGGACGGGUGAGUAACACGGGGUUAACCUACCUAUAAGACUGGGGUAACUUCGGGAAACCGGAGCUAAUACCGAAUAAUAUAUUGAACUGCAUGGUUCAAUAGUUAAAGACGGUUUUUCUGUCACUUAUAGAUUGAUCCGGCCCGCAUUAGCUAGUUGGUACGGUAACGGCUUACCAACGCGACGAUGCUGACCCGCCCUGAGAGGGAGAACGGCUACAUGGGAACUGAGAAACAGUCGAGACACCGACGCGAGGAAGCAGUAGAGACUCUUACGGAAUGGGCGAAAGCCUGAUGGAGCAAAGCGGCCUGAGGGAUGAAGCUCUUAGGCUCGGAGAACUCUGUUAUUAGGGAAGAAGAAAUGUGUAUGUAACUAUGAACGUAAUGACGGUACCUAAUCAGAAAGCCACGGCUAACUCCGUG